GCCGCAGUAGCUCAGUGGUAGAGCGCACCCUUGGUAAGGGUGAGGCCGGCAGUUCAAUCCUGCCCUGCGGCACCA
RNAcentral lists this transfer RNA (75 nucleotides) under Hyphomicrobiales bacterium. RNAcentral's name for it is "tRNA-Thr". It matches the Rfam family "tRNA". Rfam says of the family: Transfer RNA (tRNA) molecules are approximately 80 nucleotides in length. Their secondary structure includes four short double-helical elements and three loops (D, anti-codon, and T loops). Further hydrogen bonds mediate the characteristic L-shaped molecular structure. tRNAs have two regions of fundamental functional importance: the anti-codon, which is responsible for specific mRNA codon recognition, and the 3' end, to which the tRNAs corresponding amino acid is attached (by aminoacyl-tRNA synthetases). tRNAs cope with the degeneracy of the genetic code in two manners: having more than one tRNA (with a specific anti-codon) for a particular amino acid; and 'wobble' base-pairing, i.e. permitting non-standard base-pairing at the 3rd anti-codon position. RNAcentral also lists the same sequence under 2 other names. Lineage: Bacteria; Pseudomonadati; Pseudomonadota; Alphaproteobacteria; Hyphomicrobiales. The record is from RNAcentral.